UACGUAGGGGUGCAAGCGUUUGUCCGGAAUUAUUGGGCGUAAAGAGCUCGUAGGCGGUUCGUCGCGUCGGCUGUGAAAAACCUGAGGCUCAACCUCAGGCCUGCAGUCGAUACGGGCGGACUUGAGUACUGCAGGGGAGACUGGAAUUCCUGGUGUAGCGGUGAAAUGCGCAGAUAUCAGGAGGAACACCGGUGGCGAAGGCGGGGUCUCUGGGGCAGUAACUGACGCUGAGGAGCGAAAGCGUGGGGAGCGAACAGG
This 258-nucleotide ribosomal RNA is filed under the name uncultured bacterium. Its description in RNAcentral is "partial 16S ribosomal RNA". It matches the Rfam family "Bacterial small subunit ribosomal RNA", at positions 524 to 776 of the family's 1533-position model. The record is from RNAcentral.